GCGCUGAGCUCGAGCUCGAGCUUAACGUCAAUCUCAAAGACUAGCUUGGAGUCGGCUCGAGCCUAGAAACGUUCACUGGAACUCCGCAGUGGUUGACAGCGUACGCCUGAGUUAUAGUAUAUAUGUGCAGCUGAAGCAUUUGCUCUUGGGUAGCUACCCCUCCUCCUUCCUCUAGGUACCACCAUGGCAACUCGUCGCCUGCAAAGCUCUCCCGCUGCCGUAGCUGCUCGAGCCCUUGCUUCCCUCGCGCCUCCUCCUCCUCCUCCUCCUCACGCCUCCACCCGGCGGCCUCCUUCAGGUCGUGCUGCCGUUGGUCAUGGCAUCUCUCCUAUACCUCGCUACACCGGAGGUGGGCGAGGAGGCGGAGGCGUAUGCAGCCUCGCCAGCGGGGAGUGCCCCCGUAGCUGAAAGAUUCAUGCUCAAAAGCUCCGCCCCUGCUACCAAAGGAACAGCCGGCGUGCUCUUCAGGCCGUCAGGCGGAGGCGUUGUCAUCCACGCUAUGAACGUUAGCGUUGCAGCUGUACCUAGCUUCAGCAGAGAGAACCUCCAUAGCUUCUUCAACAAUCAACGCCAGCUAACAACCAUAGCCACCAGCUACAGCUCCAGGCAACGAGAGAGACGAAGGGUAGCAACUUAACAAGCACCUGCCAGUUCGGUUCAUGGCAGCCCCGGAGGGUACGUAGUUCCAUCAGGCGAUGCACAGGCUGAUGCAUACUUCUACCCUGUGCGAGCUGCCAACAAGGUGUCUCACACUUCUGCUAUAACCAUAGAUAUUAGUAGCAAGAACAAGAGUGGACCUUGGAAAUCUCCGCCGCCUUCACCAAUUGACAUUAAGAUGUGAUGAAGGGGAUUGUGAACAUAUGUAAAUAUAUUAUACUAAAAUGUGACUUGAGCUCUGUCGGUUUUAAGGGACGGAUUUUUGAACAUAAUUUAUUGUAAACACUUAGACUAAGACGUGACUUGAGAUAUGUCGGUUUUGGGGGAAGACAUACUAAACAUACUUUAUCAUAAAUAAAUGUAGGGACCCGUUAAUUCACAGUUUCUUUUUCA
Long non-coding RNA from Triticum dicoccoides, 1050 nucleotides. RefSeq lists it as uncharacterized. The transcript is spliced from 4 exons. NCBI's taxonomy places the organism in Eukaryota, Viridiplantae, Streptophyta, Magnoliopsida, Poales, Poaceae. The record is from RefSeq and is a predicted model, not a curated record.